AUUGAACGCUGGCGGCAGGCUUAACACAUGCAAGUCGAGCGGGGAAAGGUAGCUUGCUACCUGACCUAGCGGCGGACGGGUGAGUAAUGCUUAGGAAUCUGCCUAUUAGUGGGGGACAACAUCUCGAAAGGGAUGCUAAUACCGCAUACGUCCUACGGGAGAAAGCAGGGGACCUUCGGGCCUUGCGCUAAUAGAUGAGCCUAAGUCGGAUUAGCUAGUUGGUGGGGUAAAGGCCUACCAAGGCGACGAUCUGUAGCGGGUCUGAGAGGAUGAUCCGCCACACUGGGAAUGAGACACGGCCCAGACUCCUACGGGAGGCAGCAGUGGGGAAUAUUGGACAAUGGGGGGAACCCUGAUCCAGCCAUGCCGCGUGUGUGAAGAAGGCCUUUUGGUUGUAAAGCACUUUAAGCGAGGAGGAGGCUACCGAGAUUAAUACUCUUGGAUAGUGGACGUUACUCGCAGAAUAAGCACCGGCUAACUCUGUG
RNAcentral lists this ribosomal RNA (485 nucleotides) under uncultured bacterium. RNAcentral describes it as "partial 16S ribosomal RNA". It matches the Rfam family "Bacterial small subunit ribosomal RNA", at positions 30 to 507 of the family's 1533-position model. The record is from RNAcentral.